This 121-nucleotide ribosomal RNA is filed under the name uncultured Anaplasma sp. RNAcentral describes it as "partial 16S ribosomal RNA". It matches the Rfam family "Bacterial small subunit ribosomal RNA", at positions 391 to 529 of the family's 1533-position model. The record is from RNAcentral. Lineage: Bacteria; Pseudomonadati; Pseudomonadota; Alphaproteobacteria; Rickettsiales; Anaplasmataceae.
GCUAUGCCGCGUGAGUGAGGAAGGCCUUAGGGUUGUAAAACUCUUUCAGUAGGGAAGAUAAUGACGGUACCUACAGAAGAAGUCCCGGCAAACUCCGUGCCAGCAGCCGCGGUAAUACAUA